Non-coding RNA from Picea glauca (white spruce), 121 nucleotides. NCBI's taxonomy places the organism in Eukaryota, Viridiplantae, Streptophyta, Pinopsida, Pinales, Pinaceae. The record is from Rfam.
ACAUGCCUACAACAUAGUGUUAAUGCACCAGAUCAAAUUAGAAUUCCACAAUUAAGCACGCUCAGGCUAGAGUAGUACCAGGAUGGGUGACCACCCGGGAACUCCUACUAUUUGACAUGCA